RNAcentral lists this ribosomal RNA (253 nucleotides) under uncultured bacterium. RNAcentral's name for it is "partial 16S ribosomal RNA". It matches the Rfam family "Bacterial small subunit ribosomal RNA", at positions 524 to 776 of the family's 1533-position model. The record is from RNAcentral.
UACAGAGGUGGCAAGCGUUGUUCGGAAUUACUGGGCGUAAAGGGCGCGUAGGCGGCCAUCUAAGUCCGAUGUGAAAUCUCCCGGCUCAACUGGGAAACUGCAUCGGAAACUGAUCGGCUUGAAGAUGGGAGAGGGUAGUGGAAUUCCCGGUGUAGUGGUGAAAUGCGUAGAUAUCGGGAGGAACACCAGUGGCGAAGGCGACUACCUGGCCCAUUCUUGACGCUGAGGCGCGAAAGCUAGGGGAGCGAACGGG